Long non-coding RNA from Oncorhynchus keta (chum salmon), 1322 nucleotides. RefSeq lists it as uncharacterized. The transcript is spliced from 3 exons. Lineage: Eukaryota; Metazoa; Chordata; Actinopteri; Salmoniformes; Salmonidae. The record is from RefSeq and is a predicted model, not a curated record.
UCCAGAAUAGAUCCCUCAAUAACCUGAGGUCAGCAUCUUAGGUUGUUUAAUCCAGAAUAGAUCCCUCAAUAACCUGAGGUCAGCAUCUUAGGUUGUUUAAUCCAGAAUAGAUCCCUCAAUAACCUGAGGUCAGCAUCUUAGGUUGUUUAAUCCAGAAUAGAUCCCUCAAUAACCUGAGGUCAACAUCUUAGGUUGUUUAAUCCAGAAUAGAUCCCUCAAUAACCUGAGGUCAGCAUCUUAGGUUGUUUAAUCCAGAAUAGAUCCCUCAAUAACCUGAGGUCAACAUCUUAGGUUGUUUAAUCCAGAAUAGAUCCCUCAAUAACCUGAGGUCAGCAUCUUAGGUUGUUUAAUCCAGAAUAGAUCCCUCAAUAACCUGAGGUCAACAUCUUAGGUUGUUUAAUCCAGAAUAGAUCCCUCAAUAACCUGAGGUCAACAUCUUAGGUUGUUUAAUCCAGAAUAGAUCCCUCAAUAACCUGAGGUCAACAUCUUAGGUUGUUUAAUCCAGAAUAGAUCCCUCAAUAACCUGAGGUCAACAUCUUAGGUUGUUUAAUCCAGAAUAGAUCCCUCAAUAACCUGAGGUCAGCAUCUUAGGUUGUUUAAUCCAGAAUAGAUCCCUCAAUAACCUGAGGUCAGCAUCUUAGGUUGUUUAAUCCAGAAUAGAUCCCUCAAUAACCUGAGGUCAGCAUCUUAGGUUGUUUAAUCCAGAAUAGAUCCCUCAAUAACCUGAGGUCAACAUCUUAGGUUGUUUAAUCCAGAAUAGAUCCCUCAAUAACCUGAGGUCAGCAUCUUAGGUUGUUUAAUCCAGAAUAGAUCCCUCAAUAACCUGAGGUCAACAUCUUAGGUUGUUUAAUCCAGAAUAGAUCCCUCAAUAACCUGAGGUCAGCAUCUUAGGUUGUUUAAUCCAGAAUAGAUCCCUCAAUAACCUGAGGUCAACAUCUUAGGUUGUUUAAUCCAGAAUAGAUCCCUCAAUAACCUGAGGUCAGCAUCUUAGGUUGUUUAAUCCAGAAUAGAUCCCUCAAUAACCUGAGGUCAACAUCUUAGGUUGUUUAAUCCAGAAUAGAUCCCUCAAUAACCUGAGGUCAGCAUCUUAGGUUGUUUAAUCCAGAAUAGAUCCCUCAAUAACCUGAGGUCAACAUCUUAGGUUGUUUAAUCCAGAAUAGAUCCCUCAAUAACCUGAGGUCAGCAUCUUAGGUUGUUUAAUCCAGAAUAGAUCCCUCAAUAACCUGAGGUCAGCAUCUUAGGUUGUUUAAUCCAGAAUAGAUCCCUCAAUAACCUGAGGUCAGCAUCUUAGGUUGUUUAAUCCAGAAUAGAUCCCUCAAUAA